UACGUAGGCAGCAAGCGUUGUUCGGAGUUACUGGGCGUAAAGGGUGUGUAGGCGGUUUUCUAAGUCUGGUGUGAAAUCUCCCGGCUCAACUGGGAGGGUGCGCCGAAAACUGGAAGGCUAGAGUGCGGGAUGGGAGAGUGGAAUUCCUGGUGUAGCGGUGAAAUGCGUAGAUAUCUGGAGGAACACCGGUGGCGAAGGCGGCAUCCUGGACCGGUAUUGACGCUGAGGAGCGAAAGCCAGGGGAGCAAACGGG
RNAcentral lists this ribosomal RNA (253 nucleotides) under uncultured bacterium. RNAcentral's name for it is "partial 16S ribosomal RNA". It matches the Rfam family "Bacterial small subunit ribosomal RNA", at positions 524 to 776 of the family's 1533-position model. The record is from RNAcentral.